RNAcentral lists this long non-coding RNA (273 nucleotides) under Mytilus galloprovincialis (Mediterranean mussel). The record is from RNAcentral. Lineage: Eukaryota; Metazoa; Mollusca; Bivalvia; Mytilida; Mytilidae.
GCGAUUGAUUAUUGUUGACCAUUCGAGAUUCUUUUUUGCGAACCCGUCUUUAGCUGAAUGUGUGAUUUUAAUAUUACUACACGGGCCUCAAGGGAUUUUAGAUCGAAAAUAAAUGCAAAAAAUGUGAUUUUUUUUGUGUCUUUCAAGGCACAAACAAUACAGAAUUAAUUGCUUAUAACUGUUUAGUGUUUUUAAAUUUCAGCUGUAUUUUUACUCGGCUCGAAACAGGAGUAGUAGCUCGUUAAAUCUCGCAUUACACCUGUUUCGUAGUCU